GGGAGGAAAAAGGAAGAGAGAGAGAAGAAGGUUACAGUUUAGAGAGAGGAGGAAGAAGGAAGAGACGAAAUAGCCAGGGUUUAUAAAGACAGAAGAAGGAAGAGGUAAUGGGCUUCACAAACCCUAAUGGAAGAGGCCUCAUUGAUUUUUAGAAAGAGAAAAAAAAAAUGGGAUGUUGAUUUGGGAUAGUUUGAAGAGGGCUUUUCUCUCUGAUUUGGGAUUUUGUUUGAGAGAACGUCCUAACUAUAUUGAUUUGUCAAGAGUUUGUUUGAGAGAACGUCUAAAUUAUAUUGAUUUGUCAAGAGGUCUUAACUGAUUUUUAGAGAGAGAAAAAGAAGAGGGUUUUCCAUUUUUUUGGGGAAAUAACAAGCAGAG
Molecule: long non-coding RNA, 375 nt
Filed under: Amborella trichopoda
Lineage: Eukaryota; Viridiplantae; Streptophyta; Magnoliopsida; Amborellales; Amborellaceae
Description: long non-coding RNA (ATRI_LNC002827)
Source: RNAcentral